GACGAACGCUGGCGGCGUGCUUAACACAUGCAAGUCGAACGGAAAGGCCCCCAUCGUGGUUGGGGUGCUCGACUGGCGAACGGGUGAGGAACACGUGGGUGAUCUGCCCUGUACUUCGGGAUAAGCUUGGGAAACUGGGUCUAAUACCGGACAGGACCAUGGUUUAGUGUCUCAUGGUGGAAAGAUUAUUGUUUUGGUGCAGGAUGAGCUGGCGGCCUGUCAUCUGGUUGGUGGGGUAAUGGCCUACCAAGGCGUCGACGGGUAGCCGGCCUAAGAGGAUGGACACGGGCAUUGGGACACGGAUCAGACCCAGACUCGUACGAGAGGCGGCGGUGGGGAAAAUUGGCGCAUAGGCCCAAUCCUGAUGCGGCGACGCUGCGUGGGGGAUGUCGGCAUUCGGGUUGUAAACUCCUUUCGUUAGGGACGAGGCAGCGCUUGUUGGGUGUGGUGACGGUACCUUUGUUAAGAAGCACCGGCUAACUACGUG
RNAcentral lists this ribosomal RNA (487 nucleotides) under uncultured bacterium. RNAcentral's name for it is "partial 16S ribosomal RNA". It matches the Rfam family "Bacterial small subunit ribosomal RNA", at positions 28 to 507 of the family's 1533-position model. The record is from RNAcentral.